AGAGUUUGAUCAUGGCUCAUAACGUACGCUGGCGGCACGCCUAACACAUGCAAGUCGAACGAAGUAGCAAUACUUAGUGGCAGACGGGUGAGUAACAUGUGGGUAUCUACCCUUUGGCCUGGAAUAACACGAGGAAACUUGUGCUAAUACCGGAUAAGUCUUUACGGAGAAAGCUUUAUGCACCAUUGGAUGAGCCCGCACUUGAUUAGUUUGUUGGUAGGGUAAUGGCCUACCAAGACUAUGAUCAAUAGCUGAUUUGAGAGGAUGAUCAGCCACAUUGGGACUGAGACACGGCCCAAACUCCUACGGGAGGCAGCAGUGGGGAAUCUUGCACAAUGGAGGAAACUCUGAUGCAGCGAUGCCGCGUGAGUGAAGAAGGCCUUUGGGUUGUAAAGCUCUUUCGUCGGGGAAGAAAAUGACUGUACCCGAAUAAGAAGGUCCGGCUAACUUCGUGCCAGCAGCCGCGGUAAUACGAAGGGACCUAGCGUAGUUCGGAAUUACUGGGCUUAAAGAGUUCGUAGGUGGUUGAAAAAGUUGGUGGUGAAAUCCCAGAGCUUAACUCUGGAACUGCCAUCAAAACUUUUCAGCUAGAGUAUGAUAGAGGAAAGCAGAAUUUCUAGUGUAGAGGUGAAAUUCGUAGAUAUUAGAAAGAAUACCAAUUGCGAAGGCAGCUUUCUGGAUCAUUACUGACACUGAGGAACGAAAGCAUGGGUAGCGAAGAGGAUUAGAUACCCUCGUAGUCCAUGCCGUAAACGAUGUGUGUUAGACGUUGGAAAUUUAUUUUCAGUGUCGCAGGGAAACCGAUAAACACACCGCCUGGGGAGUACGACCGCAAAGUUAAAACUCAAUGAAUUGAC
RNAcentral lists this ribosomal RNA (857 nucleotides) under marine metagenome. Its description in RNAcentral is "bacterial SSU rRNA". It matches the Rfam family "Bacterial small subunit ribosomal RNA", at positions 8 to 914 of the family's 1533-position model. The record is from RNAcentral.